RNAcentral lists this ribosomal RNA (253 nucleotides) under uncultured bacterium. RNAcentral's name for it is "partial 16S ribosomal RNA". It matches the Rfam family "Bacterial small subunit ribosomal RNA", at positions 524 to 776 of the family's 1533-position model. The record is from RNAcentral.
UACGGAGGGUGCAAGCGUUAAUCGGAAUUACUGGGCGUAAAGGGCGCGUAGGUGGUUAUAUAAGUUGGCUGUGAAAGACCUGGGCUUAACCUGGGCAAGUCAGCCAUAACUGUGUGACUAGAGUACAUGAGAGGGUAGUGGAAUUUCAGGUGUAGCGGUGAAAUGCGUAGAGAUCUGAAGGAACACCAGUGGCGAAGGCGACUACCUGGCAUGAUACUGACACUGAGGCGCGAAAGCGUGGGGAGCAAACAGG